AACGGCGAGUGAAGCGGCAAAAGCUCAAAUUUGAAAUCUGGCCCCGUCAGGAGCCCGAGUUGUAAUUUGGAGAGGACACUUCGGGUGUGGCUGCGGCGUAAGUCCCUUGGAACAGGGCGUCAUAGAGGGUGAGAAUCCCGUCUUGCGCCGCCGGACCACGCCCAUGCGAAGUUCCUUCGACGAGUCGAGUUGUUUGGGAAUGCAGCUCUAAGUGGGUGGUAAAUUUCAUCUAAAGCUAAAUAUUGGCCAGAGACCGAUAGCGAACAAGUAGAGUGAUCGAAAGGUUAAAAGCACCUUGAAAAGGGAGUUAAAUAGCACGUGAAAUUGUUGAAAGGGAAGCGCUUGCAACCAGACUCGGUCGUGGGGGCUCAGCGGGCAUGCAUGCCCGUGUACUCCCCCGCGUUCGGGCCAGCAUCGGUUCCGGCGGUUGGUCAAAGACCUCUGGAAUGUGUCGUCCUCCGGGACGUCUUAUAGCCAGGGGUGCAAUGCUGCCAGCCGGGACCGAGGAUCGCGCUUCGGCACGGAUGCUGGCAUAAUGGUUGUAAGCGGCCCGUCUUGAAACACGGACCAAGGAGUCUAACAUCCACGCGAGUGUUCGGGUGUCAAACCCGUGCGCGCAGUGAAAGCGAACGGAGGUAGGAGCCCUCACGGGUGCACUAUCGACCGAUCCUGAAGUCUUCGGAUGGAUUUGAGUAGGAGCGUGGCUGUUGGGACCCGAAAGAUGGUGAACUAUGCCUGAAUAGGGUGAAGCCAGAGGAAACUCUGGUGGAGGCUCGCAGCGGUUCUGACGUGCAAAUCGAUCGUCAAAUUU
This 811-nucleotide ribosomal RNA is filed under the name Arthroderma pannicola. RNAcentral describes it as "eukaryotic LSU rRNA". It matches the Rfam family "Eukaryotic large subunit ribosomal RNA", at positions 85 to 912 of the family's 3401-position model. The record is from RNAcentral. Lineage: Eukaryota; Fungi; Ascomycota; Eurotiomycetes; Onygenales; Arthrodermataceae.